RNAcentral lists this ribosomal RNA (249 nucleotides) under uncultured Gammaproteobacteria bacterium. Its description in RNAcentral is "partial 16S ribosomal RNA". It matches the Rfam family "Bacterial small subunit ribosomal RNA", at positions 796 to 1041 of the family's 1533-position model. Lineage: Bacteria; Pseudomonadati; Pseudomonadota; Gammaproteobacteria. The record is from RNAcentral.
CAUGCUGUAAACGAUGAGUACUAGCUGUUGGCCUAACUUCGGUUGGGUAAGUGGCGAAGCAAACGCGAUAAGUACUCCGCCUGGGGAAUACGGCCGCAAGGUUAAAACUCAAAGGAAUUGACGGGGGCCCGCACAAGCGGUGGAGCAUGUGGUUUAAUUCGAUGCAACGCGAAGAACCUUACCUACUCUUGACAUACCAGAAAGAACGCAGAGAUGUGUUUGUGCCUUCGGGAAUCUGGAUACAGGUGC